GACGAACGCUGGCGGCGUGCCUAAUACAUGCAAGUCGAGCGCAGGAAACUGACGGAACUCUUCGGAGGGAAGGCAGUGGAAUGAGCGGCGGACGGGUGAGUAACACGUAAGGAACCUGCCUCAAGGAUUGGGAUAACUCCGAGAAAUCGGAGCUAAUACCGGAUAGUUCAACGGACCGCAUGGUCCGCUGAUGAAAGGCGCUUCGGCGUCACCUUGAGAUGGCCUUGCGGUGCAUUAGCUAGUUGGUGGGGUAACGGCCCACCAAGGCGACGAUGGAUAGCCGACCUGAGAGGGUGAUCGGCCACACUGGGACUGAGACACGGCCCAGACUCCUACGGGAGGCAGCAGUAGGGAAUCUUCCACAAUGGACGAAGGUAUGAUGGAGCAACGCCGCGUGAGUGAUGAAGGUUUUCGGAUCGUAAAACUCUGUUGUAAGGGAAGAACACGUACGAGAGGGAAUGCUCGUACCUUGACGGUACCUUACGAGAAAGCCACGGCUAACUACGUGCCAGCCGCCGCAGUAA
This 524-nucleotide ribosomal RNA is filed under the name uncultured bacterium. RNAcentral describes it as "partial 16S ribosomal RNA". It matches the Rfam family "Bacterial small subunit ribosomal RNA", at positions 28 to 523 of the family's 1533-position model. The record is from RNAcentral.